GUGUUGGCAGCACAGAUACUAAAAUUGGAUUAAUACAGAGAAGAUUAGCAUGGUUGCUGCACAAGGAUAAUGCACAAAUUUGUGAAGCAUUCCUUAUUUUC
Molecule: small nuclear RNA, 101 nt
Organism: Myotis lucifugus (little brown bat)
Lineage: Eukaryota; Metazoa; Chordata; Mammalia; Chiroptera; Vespertilionidae
Source: Ensembl